UGGCUGCAUGUGAUGGGGUGUAUCAACUUCAAACGCCAAAAAGGUGUUGAUUCACGCCUGAGAGCUUAUUAGCCCCACCUUGUUACCUAACAGCUGUGCCAGGCUCAGGGAGCAGUUAAAGGGAAGGAGUUCAGUGCAAUUUGGGUGGAAGGGAGAAUUUAGGAAAGAUGUGGUUUGGAGUCCCCUCUCUGUAGGAAGGGCUGACAAAAAACAGACUCCAGAAAAAGCCCUGUGAGCCACUACUGUUCUGGAAGAGGAGAAACUGAAGAGGAGCCUAGGAGGGGUGUAAGAUGUUGUGCUGAUUGACAUUAUUUUGUUGGACAUGAUUUGUUUUGGACACUGAAACCCCCAAAGGAGUGCAACUAUAGUGUGGCAUGGCUGGAGGGCCCAGUCACCCUGGUACCCAACCAAUGAAGCCUUGAAGAGGAUAGCAAGAGAGUUGCGGAAAUGCUAUGCCAUUUAACAAGGGGGUGCUCUGAAAUGAAUGCAACAGGCUGCUGCUACUGCUGGAAGUGCUAGUCUCACAGAUCUGCUCACCCAGAAGACUAUCUUCUGGUAAUAAAGUCUCUGCCCACAGCCGACAGAUACCAUCAUGGCAUGAAGUAGAAGAGAUGACUUCCACCCAGUCAUUGGAUACCAUACCUUUAAGAGACAAUCAUCCUGGGCAAAGAAACAAAAACAUGUAUACAAACGUCACAAAAAGGAAACCCAAAAGUAUGGAUGAAGUUAGCUUGGUGGUGUACAUCUAGUGACGUAGUUAAUUAAAACCAAGUUGAAAUGUUAAUACAGCAUCACCACCAAUACCAAGAGGCAACUUAUUAAAAAUGUAUAUUUUUAAUGUGUGUGGAGAAUUAAU
Dermochelys coriacea (leatherback sea turtle) is the source of this 856-nucleotide long non-coding RNA. RefSeq lists it as uncharacterized. The transcript has 4 exons. NCBI's taxonomy places the organism in Eukaryota, Metazoa, Chordata, Testudines, Dermochelyidae. The record is from RefSeq and is a predicted model, not a curated record.